UAACCGAGUUGAGACAUUGCUGUAAUUUUUCUGACUAAUUUUAAUAAGAACGGAAAAUCAGUCUCUGAAAUCCGAACAUAAUUGGCAACGCCGAACGUGAAGUUGCUAUUAUCAGAGAAUACUAACAGUCUGUGCCAUUUUUCGUGUUUUUGUGUUUGUGGUCAAAAGUGUAAGGAAAAUAAUGUGCCUAUAGAUGGGACUCCCACUCACAAACGAAAUUACAAGUGUGGCCAGUAUGAGGACCUAAUAGGAUCUUAGACAAACCUGAGUGAUUUAACAAACUGCCAGUGUACACGAAUUACAGGAAAUAUAAGAAAACAAUUAAGCUGCAAGUUUUACUAGAACAAUCACAAGAAAUACUCCUUGACAUUUACAAAUCCUUGUAAAACUCACGGUGGGAAAGUUUUCGUUUGUCAUCAUGCUUAGUGAAAAUAAAAUUGGUUGGUCAAAAAUUACAAAAAUUAUUGCCGCAGAAAGUGGGGAAUUACCAGAAUCAGUUCAGCUCCACCUGUAACAGGAUGAAUUUAAACGAUAAAUCUACAGGAUAUUGUUGGGAAAUCUGAAGGCAUUAUAGGAAAUUUUUGAGAAUUACCAGGCAACUAUUCAACAUUUUUGUGUACUUUAUUUGUAGAUCACCUACUUCUUUACUAAGUAGUUUACCAAAAGAUGAAAUUGUAAGGAAACAAUGGAUAACAUUCCUUGUCGAAAAUGGAGCUGCCAGAGAGGCUGAUAGUUUUAGAAGCGCAUCAAUAUGUGGGGGGUCACAUCACUUCUUUAAGCUAUAGAAGAGGUGAUAAAAUAGGCACUGCAGUGUCUUUUAGGUAGAUAUUGUGAUCAGUGGUAAAUCAGGUUACUUGUUUUCUGGUCAAUCUGUUUGCCAACAGUCCCUUUUUUUUCUAACCCGACUGAUAAAAUUUAUCAAUAUGUUACCAACUUUUUUUCGGUCUGAAAUAUUUAUAUUUUUCCUGCAUAAUUUGUGACUGAAAAUUUUCCAUCUUGAACAUAUGAGAAUUUUUUGUUAAUAGGGGGAUGUUUUUGGGCUUUAUUUCCAACAAGUCAAAAUAAUAAUUUCUUUCCUAGAGUAGACAACAGCAGAUCUUUAAUUUUCAGUGGUAGUGAAAACAACAUUACAAGUUGUAGAGAGGCCUGUCACAGAAUAACCAAGGGCCAUCAGUUUUUAAAAAAAACUUAAGGCACACUAACAUAUUGUCAACAAGUAAAGUGCUUCUGAUUUAAAUUUUGUUUGGAAUUUACACUUAAUGAAAUUUUUGCUUCAGUUAUUCUACUAAUAAUUAAAAAUAGUUUAAUGUAUUAUAAAAGAACAUUUUUGUUAUUGCUUACAUCUUCUUUUUUGCAAUUCUUAAAUGUGGUAAUCCUUUCAAAUCAAGUGAUGUAAAAGAGUAACACUGAAGCAUCCUAUAUCGACGCCCUUGUGCAAAUAAAAAAUAAAUAAUUAUAUAUAUCAUCCCGCUAUCUUUUCUGCGUGGGUAGUAGGUAGAGUUCAAGGGGCUUAUAGGUUUAAUGUGAGGAACCAACUUUUUUUAUUUUUGCUAUUAUCUAAUUGAGUCUCUUAAUUUAUGUAUCACAUGUAAUAGAUAAUUGAGCGUUAUGAUCUCGACAAGUCCAGUGAAUUUUCAGUGUUUAGAUUAUCUAGAUGUCAGUUAUUGGAUUCCAAGCGUGUAUGAGUAAACAUGAGUACUGCAGCAACAUUGAAUUCAUGAUUAAAGCAAUAGAUUCAAAAUAAUGGAACUUCAAUUAUUUAACGCAGAUAAUUUGUUUCAUACAUUUUGUAGUUAGUUUAAUAGGUUCUGAUAUUAUAAUAGCUUCAUAAAAAUAAUUUAUUAAAACUAAGACAAACAUUAUUAUCAUAAUAAUAAUAAUAAAUACAAAAAUUCAAAAAAAUAUUUACACACAUGCAUCGUAAAAAGAAAAACAGACUAGGAUAUGUCUAUUUUGGCAAUAUCCAAAACUGUAAUAAAAACUGUAUAUAUGUAUAUGUAUAUAUAUAUAUAUUUUGGACAAACACCUUAAUUUUCAGCCAGGAUUUAUUUUCCAAUAAAUCUGAAUGACUGCUUAUUAACAUCUCACAUUCUGCUUUCUUUGGUGGUUUUUGUUUGUUUGUGGUUCUUAAAAAAUCUUUUACAACUUUUUUUUUGUUCCGCUGUCCAUUGAAUCAGUUCUCGUUUUUUUAUUGUCACGCUAUCUUUUUCGGAAUGUGUAAGUUCCGUUUCCAUUUUUGUCUGCAAGAGUGGGAUGCUCAUCAAUUUCAUCUUCGAUUGCAAACUGUUAGUCAGUUUCGUGUACAUCUUCGGGGUUUAAUUCUUCUUCCAAAUUUAAGUCAAUUUCUUCCAAUGUCUUUCCUUUGUACUUUCCCGCUUGGCCAUCUUCCAUGAGAAGUAACAGUUUCACAAUUUUUGCAGUUUGAAAAAUGUCAUCUGGAAGUCUAUAAUUUUGACUAUGUACAUUUAAAGUGUUGCCCAUAAACGUUGCCAACUGUUCAAUUUCGUUUUGUGACAUAUUAAAGACCUGUGAUAAUGUGGCCAAAUGUUUGCUUAAUUUCGUAGAAGUUAAAGCUCGGGAGUUCUUGCUCCACAUAUUCUUGCGUGUGUUUGUUCCUUAUACUUAUAAAGGCUGGUCUGAGUGAGUCUGCGCAAUUUUUUUUGAAAUUGUCGAUUUUCAAUCAGAAAAUCCAUAUGGCCUUGAAUAUCUCUGCUAAAUAGAACGAGAACCCUUCUUCCCCCUUAUCACAAUUCGUUUAAAACUUUUCAAAAGAAUUUUUUCAGAAGUUGUAAUUUCGUCCGAAAAUUCUUCGUAAUUGUGGUUAUUUUUUUCAUCAGAUAAUGUAUAAGACGUCAGCUUCAUUCUCUGCAAUUCACCUACCCUGUUUCUAUUAAGAAGCAAUAACCGGCAAAACACUGUUUCCAUCAAAACUGUGUAGUUUUUUAGACUAUUGGAACCCUCUUUCAAUUUUUUUUUCAGCUUCGUUGCCCUUUUCAAUGAGAUAUGUUUUAAGUAAUUUUAGAUCAGAUGCUAAAGGUAUUAUUGUUAUCUUAUUGCAAGUUUUAGUAUUUAAGUCUCUGGCAGCUUGGAUGGAUAUUUCAUGUUUCCAAGUACUUUCCAAUAAUCUCUUGAACAUUCUAACAUUUGCUUCAGCCUCUGCAGCACUAACGUUCGGGUAGCAAUAUUUUCGCUUUAUAAAAUUUAAUAUUGCGAUAUCACAACAAUUUUUUAAACUUGUAGAGAUAUUCAUAGCAAAAGUAGGAGAUAUGUAAAUAUCAUUUUGUGCAUCAUAUUUCGCAAUAAUUUUGACACUUUGAACAACAUCAUAAUUCUGAAACCGAGUUAUUUUAUUUUUUCUUAUAUUUUUGUUUGCCGAAUGGAAAACGUUUUCAGUUGUAGGACUGGAAAUUACUGAGUUCACUUCUUUCUUAUUCUAAAAAGUAGAAAUGAAAUGAAUAAAACAUAUUAUAAAUAUUUAACAAUACAACAAUUAUUGAUUCUCUAAAUUAUUUUGCUUCUAAUUUACUAUUUAUUUUUUUUAGUUCAUGUCAUAGUCGAAAUUUGGAAUAAUUUUGCUUUUCGCGACAAGAUAUAAGCAUUUACACUAUUUUUUUUUUGUUUUUUGAUUGUUUCAUUUAAAAUUUUUAGACUAUGGAAGCUCAAACCUCGCUCUAAACUUAAUAUUUCAAUAAAUAACUGUGAGAAACUAUUUUAAUCAACAAUUGAUGACAAAAUAUCAUUUAUUUAGAACCAGAAGCAAUGCAAAGAAAAAUAAGUAUUAGAACUUCAACGUUUUUGCUACACAGCAAAAUGCUUAAUCUUUUAUUUAUUUUUAUUUAUUUAAUUUUAAAACGUUGAAAUGAAAUGGAAUUUAAUGUUGAUAUUGUUGCGACUGUCUUUCAAAACUAAUCAUUCGGUUUAUAUUUACCUUAGGUGAUGUUAACAAUAAGUUACUUGACCAGGACGGUUUAGCAUCGGGAGAUGUCUAGAAUAAAUAAUUCAAUUUUUGAAUUGUAAUUGAAAUUGUA
Cylas formicarius (sweet potato weevil) is the source of this 4028-nucleotide long non-coding RNA. RefSeq lists it as uncharacterized. The record is from RefSeq and is a predicted model, not a curated record. The transcript has 4 exons. Lineage: Eukaryota; Metazoa; Arthropoda; Insecta; Coleoptera; Brentidae.